UGUUCACGCAGUGACGGUAUCCAACCAGAAAGUCACGGCUAACUACGUGCCAGCAGCCGCGGUAAUACGUAGGUGGCAAGCGUUAUCCGGAUUUAUUGGGCGUAAAGCGAGCGCAGGCGGUUGCUUAGGUCUGAUGUGAAAGCCUUCGGCUUAACCGAAGAAGUGCAUCGGAAACCGGGCGACUUGAGUGCAGAAGAGGACAGUGGAACUCCAUGUGUAGCGGUGGAAUGCGUAGAUAUAUGGAAGAACACCAGUGGCGAAGGCGGCUGUCUGGUCUGCAACUGACGCUGAGGCUCGAAAGCAUGGGUAGCGAACAGGAUUAGAUACCCUGGUAGUCCAUGCCGUAAACGAUGAGUGCUAGGUGUUGGAGGGUUUCCGCCCUUCAGUGCCGGAGCUAACGCAUUAAGCACUCCGCCUGGGGAGUACGACCGCAAGGUUGAAACUCAAAGGAAUUGACGGGGGCCCGCACAAGCGGUGGAGCAUGUGGUUUAAUUCGAAGCUACGCGAAGAACCUUACCAGGUCUUGACAUCUUGCGCUAACCUUAGAGAUAAGGCGUUCCCUUCGGGGACGCAAUGACAGGUGGUGCAUGGUCGUCGUCAGCUCGUGUCGUGAGAUGUUGGGUUAAGUCCCGCAACGAGCGCAACCCUUGUUACUAGUUGCCAGCAUUAAGUUGGGCACUCUAGUGAGACUGCCGGUGACAAACCGGAGGAAGGUGGGGACGACGUCAGAUCAUCAUGCCCCUUAUGACCUGGGCUACACACGUGCUACAAUGGACGGUACAACGAGUCGCAAGCUCGCGAGAGUAAGCUAAUCUCUUAAAGCCGUUCUCAGUUCGGACUGUAGGCUGCAACUCGCCUACACGAAGUCGGAAUCGCUAGUAAUCGCGGAUCAGCAUGCCGCGGUGAAUACGUUCCCGGGCCUUGUACACACCGCCCGUCACACCAUGGGAGUUUGUAACGCCCAAAGUCGGUGGCCUAACCUUUAUGGAGGGAGCCGCCUAAGGCGGGACAGAUGACUGGGGUGAAGUCGUAACAAGGUAGCCGUAGGAGAACCUGCGGCUGGAUCACCUCCUUUCUAAGGAA
Molecule: ribosomal RNA, 1083 nt
Filed under: Limosilactobacillus reuteri
Lineage: Bacteria; Bacillati; Bacillota; Bacilli; Lactobacillales; Lactobacillaceae
Description: bacterial SSU rRNA
Rfam family: Bacterial small subunit ribosomal RNA
Source: RNAcentral